RNAcentral lists this long non-coding RNA (1272 nucleotides) under Zea mays. RNAcentral's name for it is "long non-coding RNA (ZMAY_LNC003411)". The record is from RNAcentral. Lineage: Eukaryota; Viridiplantae; Streptophyta; Magnoliopsida; Poales; Poaceae.
AAAAACAAAUUGAGAAAAAUCUGAAAAAACGAAGCCACUUCAAGUUCUUUGUUUCUCUUUCGUUGUGUAGGAUGUAGGCAUUUCCUGUGUUUUUUACGUGGCUCAUCCAAACAACAUCUCUACUACUAUUAUAUGAGAUUUUUUCCUUUGGUACGUCGUUCCCCGUCCACGCACGUUUAUCCGACUCCCUGUGAAAAAUCCAAAAAAAUACAUGUUUAUUGGGGUUUAAACAGUGGCGGAUCCAGGAUUAAUCCAAGAGGGGGCUGCUAAGCUAAGGUUAUUAAAAAAAUUAAUCCAAACAAAAAGAAUCUAAUUAAUAUUUAAUAUGACACAACAAGCAAGGCAUAAUUUAAACAUGCAAGAAGUAUGUAGACCAAAAUAAAAUAUGAAUUCUACAAAUACAAUAAUCAAUAAAUAUCGUUCAUAAAUCACAAGUUGAUGUUGCUAGGUAAAUUUAUCUUCCAAGUUUUUAUGCUGAUGUCUAUGAAAAUGUAUGAUCAAAUGGUUGACAUGGGCCCAUUUGUAAAUAAGCUAUUUUAGCAUCAACUUUAAUUUAUGGGGAACUCAUCAAUUGGUUUUCUAAGGUCGGGAUCUGCAACUAUAUCAUUUAUAUUUAGCUCAAUCUGUGGUCUUUUCUAUUCUACACGACUCUCAUUUGUUCCAAUUGUAUUAGAAUUAGAAGCAUAUUUAUUUUUGUUCUUGAUGAGAAAUUUAUCUAUCUUAUCCUACAAACAUAAAAUUUAAUUUUAUUAACUAUCCAACCUAGCAAACAUUGUACCACUAGCAAAUAAAUAAUUAAAUCAAAGUACCAAACAAUAAAAUAGUUUUUUAGCCUUACCGUGCUUACCACUAGUACUGCCAUGGCACAGUACCACUAGCAGAAACCCACUGGUUCAAGGCUUCACGUAAUUAGCCGCUGCUACAAAUCAGGAUGCCAGAAGCUGCUCCAGCGCCCGCCCGCUAUGGCCUGGCCGCGUCCCGGCGUCCGUGUGGCGUGGUCUUCUCGAGAGCUGACCGGCUGUACAUCUACGCAACGCCGGGCGCCCGGGCCGUCCACUAGUGGCCACAGCCGCGACCGCCCCAGCUGGGUCGGGUACGUCGCCGGCGGCUAGGCAGGCGCGACGUGCUCGUCUCGCUGCGCGGAACGGUGGGGUGAGUGAGGGAGCGAGCAAGCGGCGGAGCGCCACGGAGGCCUCAGGGCAGCACCGCGACGGCUGGCGAGCCAAGGGCGGACAGCGGCAGGCCGGUGGCUAGGGCGCAGCACGAGCGAGU